UGUCUUUAAGUUAUAUUUGAUUGGUAAAUAAAGAUGCCAACAUCCAAUAGCUGGGCAGAAGAGACAUAGGUGGGGUUUAGGCUUUGGGGACUUGGGGUUGGAGAAGAACCAUGAGGAGAGAAGAAGAGUGCAGGAGGAGGAAGGAGAAGCUGCCAUGGGUUAGGAGUCAAGAGAAUGUGCCUCUGAGGACUGGCCAAUUAGAGUUAAGAGCAGCCCAGAUGAAGCAUAGUAAGUGAUAACUUAGGGUAACAAUAGGAAAGUAGAUUCUAAUCACAUAGAGGCUAGACAGCUGCCCAGCUAUUGUGCUGUUUAAGGCUUAUUGAAAAUAUAAAGGUUGUGUGUGUCUUUUAUUUGGGAACUUAAAUAGGCAAGGUGGGAGAAACCUUGGGCUGGAAUUUAAAUAAAUUUCUACAAGACUCCAUUCUGAAUAUUUUACUAGUUAAGAAUUCUUCUAUCCCCUAGUGUUUAGACUUUGUAAUUCUUAUGUACUGUUAGACUUAUUUCUAAAAUUCAAAUUUUAGAAUUUUUGAUCAAGUUCUCUGCAUAGCAUAGCAUACCAAUAGAAUUAACCAAAAGUCCAUAGCAUAGUAUGAGGCUCUUCUCUGUUUGCCUCUCCAGAUCUCUCCUCACCAUGCUCUAUGCCCUGGGAGGCUGACCUCUAUGGACUUCAUUAGCUGAGCUCCCUUGCCUUUUGGUUUCCAGUUGGGUUCAACCAAUGGGAAGCAUCAGCUGGAGACUGGAGACUAGGAAGAAGAGGUCAGGUUAUUUACUUUUUUGGUUCUCUGUUUGUAUGGUCAUUGGUUGGCAGUGGCUGCAGUUUUCUUAUUCAUUUACAGUUGUAGCCACUGGGUACCAGUAGCUGUUCUUCCCAUAGAUAGAACAACUAUUAAGAUAAUGAAAUUUUAAUUCUAGGACCAAAAACUACAUAGUUUUUAGAACAUUUGCAAAAUGUACCCUUGCUUUUCUUUUCUUACAAGAGGCCAUUAAAAUUAUAUGGUCUUUAAGCUUUAUAAGACUAGAUAUCCAUAGUGUUCUUAGCUUUGACUCUUCAAGUUAAGUUUUCUGGAAGAAAAAAAAAAAAAAAAACUGAAGAGUAGCAUCCUUGGAGGACGGGGUUACUGGAUAGUUCAUGGGUGCACAAUAUUUUAAGUUGGUCUUAUGGGAUGUGUAGGAGUUUUCCAGAUGAGCAUGAGGAAUGUAGAAGGCCUUUACAAUUAAGAAAAAGCUUGUUGGAAAAGAAUGAAUUGCGUGGAUAUCUAUAGGAGAAGAGUUCUGUGUAGAACGAGAGGAAAUAGAGCAUAAAAACCGAGGUAGAAAGUGUCUGGAAUAACCUGGGUGUUAUUGUAGUUGGAGAGGAGUGAGAGAUGAGAGGAGGGUUGGGAAAACUGAAGAUUUUGCUGUCGUUGAGAGUGUUAUCGACCACCAUGAGAACUUUGGGUCUUAUUGGUAAGAUUGAACCAUAGGAAUGAGCUAUUAACAUGGCAUAGUUGUGACUAACCUAUCUGCUCUAUUUAGGAAUAGAUUAUAGGAGCACAGGCUGAAAGAAACUAGUUAAAAGCGACUGUAGUUUACACAAGAGGUAGCAAUAGCUUAGACAAGGGAAUUACUAAGAAACCAAAAGCAGAGCUGUGAGGAUCUGUGGAUUGUUAGAUGCAGGGUGUGAAUGACAGGAGGGAACCAAAAGUUACUUGUGUUUUGACCUAGGCAAUAGAAGUGAGACAUUGAGACUUUGCAGUUUAUUGAGAGAAAAACUAGAAAAGCAAGUCUGAAGCAGGGUGGAGGGAAGGCUUUGCAUAUGCCAGUUUUAGGUGCCUAGUUGACAUCCUGGUGACAAACAGACAGCCAGAUGUACAAGUCUGCAAUUCACAGGACUCUGGUUUGGAGUUAUAAGCAGGUAGAUGGUAUAUCCAGUUCUACGAUUCGGGUCAAGCUGGCUCUGGUAAAGGUACCUUCCUGAGGGUGAGCCUCCGAAGAAGCCACAUAGUGGAAAGAACAAACUUUCACAAGUUGUCCUCAGACCCCCAUGCAUAGCAUGGUGCAUGUGCCAUCACU
Molecule: long non-coding RNA, 2052 nt
Filed under: Mus musculus (house mouse)
Lineage: Eukaryota; Metazoa; Chordata; Mammalia; Rodentia; Muridae
Description: long non-coding RNA chr4:53723986-53726038
Source: RNAcentral